AUUGAACGCUGGCGGCAUGCUUUACACAUGCAAGUCGAACGGUAACAGGCCUUCGGGUGCUGACGAGUGGCGAACGGGUGAGUAAUGCAUCGGAACGUGCCCAGAGGUGGGGGAUAACGCAGCGAAAGCUGUGCUAAAACCGCAUGAGAUCUGAGGAUGAAAGCGGGGGACCAGGCAGCAAUGUUUGGCCUCGCGCCUUUGGAGCGGCCGAUGUCAGAUUAGGUAGUUGGUGGGGUAAAGGCCUACCAAGCCGACGAUCUGUAGCUGGUCUGAGAGGACGACCAGCCACACUGGGACUGAGACACGGCCCAGACUCCUACGGGAGGCAGCAGUGGGGAAUUUUGGACAAUGGGCGCAAGCCUGAUCCAGCAAUGCCGCGUGCGGGAAGAAGGCCUUCGGGUUGUAAACCGCUUUUGUACGGAACGAAAAGGCUCUGGCUAAUACCUGGGGCUGAUGACGGUACCGUAAGAAUAAGCACCGGCUAACUACGUG
RNAcentral lists this ribosomal RNA (492 nucleotides) under uncultured bacterium. RNAcentral describes it as "partial 16S ribosomal RNA". It matches the Rfam family "Bacterial small subunit ribosomal RNA", at positions 29 to 507 of the family's 1533-position model. The record is from RNAcentral.